GCAUGCGGCAGCUACCAUGCAGUCGAGCGGGGAGAUGUAGCUUGCUACAUUUCCUAGCGGCGGACGGGUGAGUAAUGCUUAGGAAUCUGCCUAUUAGUGGGGGACAACAUUCCGAAAGGAAUGCUAAUACCGCAUACGCCCUACGGGGGAAAGCAGGGGAUCUUCGGACCUUGCGCUAAUAGAUGAGCCUAAGUCAGAUUAGCUAGUUGGUGGGGUAAAGGCCUACCAAGGCGACGAUCUGUAGCGGGUCUGAGAGGAUGAUCCGCCACACUGGGACUGAGACACGGCCCAGACUCCUACGGGAGGCAGCAGUGGGGAAUAUUGGACAAUGGGCGAAAGCCUGAUCCAGCCAUGCCGCGUGUGUGAAGAAGGCCUUUUGGUUGUAAAGCACUUUAAGCGAGGAGGAGGCUACUUAGAUUAAUACUCUAGGAUAGUGGACGUUACUCGCAGAAUAAGCACCGGCUAACUCUGUGCCAGCAGCCGCGGUAAUACAGAGGGUGCGAGCGUUAAUCGGAUUUACUGGGCGUAAAGCGUGCGUAGGCGGCUUUUUAAGUCGGAUGUGAAAUCCCUGAGCUUAACUUAGGAAUUGCAUUCGAUACUGGGAAGCUAGAGUAUGGGAGAGGAUGGUAGAAUUCCAGGUGUAGCGGUGAAAUGCGUAGAGAUCUGGAGGAAUACCGAUGGCGAAGGCAGCCAUCUGGCCUAAUACUGACGCUGAGGUACGAAAGCAUGGGGAGCAAACAGGAUUAGAUACCCUGGUAGUCCAUGCCGUAAACGAUGUCUACUAGCCGUUGGGGCCUUUGAGGCUUUAGUGGCGCAGCUAACGCGAUAAGUAGACCGCCUGGGGAGUACGGUCGCAAGACUAAAACUCAGAGGAAUUGACGGA
RNAcentral lists this ribosomal RNA (883 nucleotides) under uncultured bacterium. RNAcentral's name for it is "bacterial SSU rRNA". It matches the Rfam family "Bacterial small subunit ribosomal RNA", at positions 35 to 917 of the family's 1533-position model. The record is from RNAcentral.